UGUCAGGAGUUAUGAAAUGUACGGGUGCCAAUACCACUCGUGCUUGACAAAGGCUCCAAAGGAAGCUCCGGCUAACUUCGUGCCAGCAGCCGCGGUAAGACGAAGGGAGCGAGCGUUGUUCGGAAUCACUGGGCAUAAAGGGUCUGUAGGCGGCUUGGGAAGUGGGAUGUGAAAUCCCCCGGCUUAACCGGGGAACUGCAUUUCAAACUCCCAGACUUGAGGAACAGAGGGGAGAGUGGAACUUCUGGUA
RNAcentral lists this ribosomal RNA (250 nucleotides) under uncultured anaerobic ammonium-oxidizing bacterium. Its description in RNAcentral is "partial 16S ribosomal RNA". It matches the Rfam family "Bacterial small subunit ribosomal RNA", at positions 434 to 675 of the family's 1533-position model. The record is from RNAcentral.